RNAcentral lists this ribosomal RNA (159 nucleotides) under Alangium salviifolium. RNAcentral's name for it is "5.8S ribosomal RNA". It matches the Rfam family "5.8S ribosomal RNA". From Rfam's summary of the family: 5.8S ribosomal RNA (5.8S rRNA) is a component of the large subunit of the eukaryotic ribosome. It is transcribed by RNA polymerase I as part of the 45S precursor that also contains 18S and 28S rRNA. The record is from RNAcentral. Lineage: Eukaryota; Viridiplantae; Streptophyta; Magnoliopsida; Cornales; Cornaceae.
AAACGACUCUCGACGACGGAUAUCUUGGCUCUCGCAUCGAGAAAGAACGUGAAAUGCGAUUGGUGUGAAUUGCGGAAUCCCCUGGACCAUCGAGUCUUUGAACGCAAGUUGCCCCCGAAGCCCUUAGGCCGAGGGCAUGUCUGCCUGGGCGUCAUGCAA